UGACGUCAAUCAUCAUGCCCCUUAUGACCUGGGCUACACACGUGCUACAAUGGUUGGUACAACGAGUUGCGAGUCGGUGACGGCGAGCUAAUCUCUUAAAGCCAAUCUCAGUUCGGAUUGUAGGCUGCAACUCGCCUACAUGAAGUCGGAAUCGCUAGUAAUCGCGGAUCAGCACGCCGCGGUGAAUACGUUCCCGGGCCUU
RNAcentral lists this ribosomal RNA (202 nucleotides) under uncultured Streptococcus sp. RNAcentral's name for it is "partial 16S ribosomal RNA". It matches the Rfam family "Bacterial small subunit ribosomal RNA", at positions 1180 to 1382 of the family's 1533-position model. Lineage: Bacteria; Bacillati; Bacillota; Bacilli; Lactobacillales; Streptococcaceae. The record is from RNAcentral.